Molecule: ribosomal RNA, 811 nt
Filed under: Ochrosphaera sp. MBTD-CMFRI-S003
Lineage: Eukaryota; Haptophyta; Coccolithales; Hymenomonadaceae
Description: SSU rRNA
Rfam family: Eukaryotic small subunit ribosomal RNA
Source: RNAcentral
UAUAAGCGACUAUACUGUGAAACUGCGAAUGGCUCAUUAAAUCAGUUAUGGUUUAUUUGAUGGUACCUUACUACUUGGAUACCCGUAGUAAUUCUAGAGCUAAUACAUGCAGGAAUUCCCGACUUUCGGAGGGAUGUAUUUAUUAGAUAAGAAACCAAUCCGCUUCGGCGGUUGUGUGCCGAGUCAUAAUAACUGUUCGAAUCGCAUGGCUUUACGCCGGCGAUGGUUCAUUCAAAUUUCUGCCCUAUCAGCUUUCGAUGGUAGGAUAGAGGCCUACCAUGGCGUUUACGGGUAACGGAGAAUUAGGGUUCGAUUCCGGAGAGGGAGCCUGAGAAAUGGCUACCACAUCCAAGGAAGGCAGCAGGCGCGUAAAUUGCCCGAAUCCUGACACAGGGAGGUAGUGACAAGAAAUAACAAUACAGGGCCAUCUUGGUCUUGUAAUUGGAAUGAGUACAAUUUACAUCUCUUCACGAGGAUCAAUUGGAGGGCAAGUCUGGUGCCAGCAGCCGCGGUAAUUCCAGCUCCAAUAGCGUAUAUUAAAGUUGUUGCAGUUAAAACGCUCGUAGUCGGAUUUCGGGGCGGGCCUGCCGGUCUGCCGAUCGGUACGCACUGGCGGGCGCGUCCUUCCUUCCGGAGACCGCGCCUCCUCUUAACUGAGCGGGCGUGGGAGACGGAUCGUUUACUUUGAAAAAAUCAGAGUGUUUCAAGCAGGCAGCUCGCUCUUGCAUGGAUUAGCAUGGGAUAAUGAAAUAGGACUCUGGUGCUAUUUUGUUGGUUUCGAACACCGGAGUAAUGGUCAACAGGGACAGUC